CUCAGGAUCCUGGCCCCAGAGCUGAGCUGCGUUUCAAAGGAAUGGUGUCCAGGAGCCCAGACCUCUUUUGCUCCCACUACCUUCCCUUUAUUGCAAACCCUCCUCUGUAUGCUAGCUCCCCGCUCCCCGCCUCAGAGCGGUUGGUUUCUCAGGGCUACCUGAGUUGCUGUCUCUGGGCUUAAGUCUUAAUUUUGCCCCCAAUAAAACUUAAACUCUCAAGUUGUGCAUUUUUUGUUGUUGUUGACAGGGCGACUGUGAAACCAGGGACCCUGAGGAGACUUCUCUCCUUCACCUGAACUCUACGAGGAGAUGGAGCCUGGGUGCCAGGAGAGACCCCUGUGCCCGUCCCUCUCCUCCGGGAGCCAAGACGAAUGUGGGAUGUCUCUGAACGUCCUCCGGGAGGAGCCCCAUCUCAGAGCUGCUCCUCAGGGCCCGAGCCGAAGGACCGGGAUGCGGGGCUGGAGAGACAGGCCAUCCACGAACAGACAAAGGGGGGGCACCAAGCUCCACGAGAGGCAGGCCUGCGGCCCCAGGGAGACAACGGUGCCCUGGGACCAGGUGCCAAUGGAACGUGAGUGAUGCCAGCAGCUGCCAGGGGCCACUUUACAAAGGACGAGGGGAGCUGGGGCCAUAGGGCUGGAUGGUUGUUCCCAACACUGGGUAAUUUAAAGCAAGGAAAUGAUAGGCUCGAAUCAAAAUGUUCGCCUCAAGGCACAGAAUAAAAUUCAAGGCCAUUAUAUGAAAGAAUCUUUUAUUGCAUAUAGCCACAGAGUUGAAAUUGCCGAAGACUGAACGUGGAGAUUGAUUCCGUGUCACAACUUCCCUUGGUCUGUCUUGAAAAUUCAGGAGACGUUAGUACGCCAUUGGC
RNAcentral lists this long non-coding RNA (868 nucleotides) under Sus scrofa (pig). RNAcentral's name for it is "lncRNA (ENSSSCG00005042763.1)". The record is from RNAcentral. Lineage: Eukaryota; Metazoa; Chordata; Mammalia; Artiodactyla; Suidae.